Molecule: long non-coding RNA, 600 nt
Filed under: Mytilus galloprovincialis (Mediterranean mussel)
Lineage: Eukaryota; Metazoa; Mollusca; Bivalvia; Mytilida; Mytilidae
Source: RNAcentral
UCAGUUACUUUUUUUCUAUCUAUAUAUUUCUAGCAAAUUGUCAGAGUAAAACAGAACUAAUUUGCCGAUAUUUUUUCGUAUGCAGUGACCUUAACUUUACAACCUUUCGUUAGAACUUAGACCACCGCAUAGCGCAAGUGCGAUGGGAAAACAAAUAUUUUUAAUGAGAGUACACUUAAUGGGAAAUAAAAAUGAGACAUCAAGAUUAACCAGAAGAAAUGUACUGGAAACAUAGUCUGCAACAAAACACACGCUUCAUGAAUGUAUACAAUAAGCAAAGCUACACAAGUUGUGAGAAUUUAUCAAAGAACUAUCAUUAGUUAACAAACAGUUCUCCUCAGGCUGAUAUCCUGUUGAAAUUAAAUAAAAGAAAUUAAACUCUUUAUUUGAGAAGAUAAAACAGCCCAAGUUGCAAAAAAGUCAAAAGUGGUAGGUGUGAAUACGUAUGGAUACUUGUACAAGAGCAUAAAUUUGAGUCGAAAAAUCUAUCAGAAAAAAAUUGGCUGCCAGAUUUUUAUCGAAAAGUGAAAGCCGAUUGCACCUUUUUAUGUUCAGGUGUGUUUGAGUUCACUAUUUUGUUUUCCAAAUAUAUAAAGCAAG